GACGUAGGGCGCGAGCGUUGUCCGGAUUUAUUGGGCGUAAAGGGUGUGUAGGUGGCGCGCUAAGUCGGGCGUGAAAUUUCGGAGCUUAACUCCGAAACUGCAUUCGAUACUGGCGUGCUUGAGGACUGGAGAGGAGACUGGAAUUCAUGGUGUAGCAGUGAAAUGCGUAGAGAUCAUGAGGAAGACCAGUGGCGAAGGCGGGUCUCUGGACAGUUCCUGACACUGAGACACGAAGGCCAGGGGAGCAAACGGG
RNAcentral lists this ribosomal RNA (253 nucleotides) under uncultured bacterium. RNAcentral describes it as "partial 16S ribosomal RNA". It matches the Rfam family "Bacterial small subunit ribosomal RNA", at positions 524 to 776 of the family's 1533-position model. The record is from RNAcentral.